Molecule: ribosomal RNA, 659 nt
Filed under: uncultured fungus
Lineage: Eukaryota; Fungi
Description: eukaryotic LSU rRNA
Rfam family: Eukaryotic large subunit ribosomal RNA
Source: RNAcentral
CCCGCUGAACUUAAGCAUAUCAAUAAGCGGAGGAAAAGAAACUAACAAGGAUUCCCCCAGUAACUGCGAGUGAAGAGGGAAGAGCUCAAAUUUAGAAUCUGGUAGUCUUUGGCUGCCCGAGUUGUAAAUUAGAGAAGUGUUAUCCGCGCUGGACUGUGCAUAAGUCUCUUGGAAAAGGGCAUCAUAGAGGGUGACAAUCCCGUCUUUGGCACAGACUCCCAGGGCUUUUGUGAUACGCUCUCGAUGAGUCGAGUUGUUUGGGAAUGCAGCUCUAAAUGGGUGGUAAAUUCCAUCUAAAGCUAAAUAUUGGCGAGAAACCGAUAGCGCACAAGUACCGUGAGGGAAAGAUGAAAAGAACUUUGAAAAGAGAGUUAAACAGUACGUGAAAUUGCUGAAAGGGAAACGCUUGAAGUCAGUCACGUCUGCCAGGACUCAGCCUUGCUUCUGCUUGGUGUACUUUCUGGUUUGACGGGCCAACAUCAAUUUUGACCGUUGGAGAAAGGCUUUGGGAAUGUGGCACCCUCGGGUGUGUUAUAGCCCUUUGUCGUAUACAACGGUUGGGAUUGAGGACCGCAGCACGCCUUCAUGGCCGGGGUUCGCCCACGUACGUGCUUAGGAUGUUGGCAUAAUGGCUUUAAGCGACCCGUCUUGAAACACGG